GAGAGUAUAGCUCAGUGGUUGAGUAUGUGCUUAGCAUGCAUGAGGUCCUGGGUUCGAUUGCCAGUACUUUCA
Camelus ferus (Wild Bactrian camel) is the source of this 72-nucleotide transfer RNA. It matches the Rfam family "tRNA". Rfam says of the family: Transfer RNA (tRNA) molecules are approximately 80 nucleotides in length. Their secondary structure includes four short double-helical elements and three loops (D, anti-codon, and T loops). Lineage: Eukaryota; Metazoa; Chordata; Mammalia; Artiodactyla; Camelidae. The record is from Rfam.